GAUGAACGCUGGCGGCGUGCCUAAUACAUGCAAGUCGAGCGAACGGACGAGAAGCUUGCUUCUCUGAUGUUAGCGGCGGACGGGUGAGUAAUACGUGGAUAACCUACCUAUAAGACUGGGAUAACUUCGGGAAACCGGAGCUAAUAUCGGAUAAUAUUUUGAACCGCGUGGUUCAAAAGUGAAAGACGGUCUUGCUGUCACUUAUAGAUGGAUCCGCGCUGCAUUAGCUAGUUGGUAAGGUAACGGCUUACCAAGGCAACGAUGCAUAGCCGACCUGAGAGGGUGAUCGGCCACACUGGAACUGAGACACGGUCCAGACUCCUACGGGAGGCAGCAGUAGGGAAUCUUCCGCAAUGGGCGAAAGCCUGACGGAGCAACGCCGCGUGAGUGAUGAAGGUCUUCGGAUCGUAAAACUCUGUUAUUAGGAAAGAACAUAUGUGUAAGUAACUGUGCACAUCUGGACGGUACCUAAGCAGAAAGCCACGGCUAACUACGU
RNAcentral lists this ribosomal RNA (496 nucleotides) under uncultured bacterium. RNAcentral's name for it is "partial 16S ribosomal RNA". It matches the Rfam family "Bacterial small subunit ribosomal RNA", at positions 28 to 506 of the family's 1533-position model. The record is from RNAcentral.